GUGGCCUCAUGCUGCCCUCUGUUUCUUGGCGAUUUAGAAUCGGGCUCCAUUGGAUCCGGGGGUUGUUUCUUCUCCGCGGCCCGGUGGUGGAGCGCCUAUCCCUGCAGCGGCUAUUGCGAGAGAUGGAGCGAGGGCUAGAUGAGAUGGAGCGAGGAGACGGGCUGCCCCGAGGAGACAGUGCUUCAAAUCGGGGAGGUUCAGGUUCUGCCACCACAUUCGCAAUUAUAGUGGAAUUUUUUCCCUGUAAAGCCAAGCUCAGUGAUGGCAGUGUCCAAGACAUUGAUAGAGAUACCACCGUGAGGUUGGAUGUCGAUUUUGCA
Triticum dicoccoides is the source of this 320-nucleotide long non-coding RNA. RefSeq lists it as uncharacterized. The transcript is spliced from 3 exons. The record is from RefSeq and is a predicted model, not a curated record. Lineage: Eukaryota; Viridiplantae; Streptophyta; Magnoliopsida; Poales; Poaceae.